GAUGAACGCUGGCGGCGUGCCUAAUACAUGCAAGUCGAGCGAACAGACGAGGAGCUUGCUCCUCUGACGUUAGCGGCGGACGGGUGAGUAACACGUGGAUAACCUACCUAUAAGACUGGGAUAACUUCGGGAAACCGGAGCUAAUACCGGAUAACAUGUUGAACCGCAUGGUUCAACAGUGAAAGACGGUCUUGCUGUCACUUAUAGAUGGAUCCGCGCCGCAUUAGCUAGUUGGUAAGGUAACGGCUUACCAAGGCAACGAUGCGUAGCCGACCUGAGAGGGUGAUCGGCCACACUGGAACUGAGACACGGUCCAGACUCCUACGGGAGGCAGCAGUAGGGAAUCUUCCGCAAUGGGCGAAAGCCUGACGGAGCAACGCCGCGUGAGUGAAGAAGGUCUUCGGAUCGUAAAACUCUGUUAUUAGGGAAGAACAAAUGUGUAAGUAACUAUGCACGUCCUGACGGUACCUAAUCAGAGAGCCACGGCUAACUACGUG
RNAcentral lists this ribosomal RNA (497 nucleotides) under uncultured bacterium. RNAcentral describes it as "partial 16S ribosomal RNA". It matches the Rfam family "Bacterial small subunit ribosomal RNA", at positions 28 to 507 of the family's 1533-position model. The record is from RNAcentral.